Molecule: ribosomal RNA, 421 nt
Filed under: Theileria annulata
Lineage: Eukaryota; Apicomplexa; Aconoidasida; Piroplasmida; Theileriidae
Description: SSU rRNA
Rfam family: Eukaryotic small subunit ribosomal RNA
Source: RNAcentral
AUUACCCAAUCCGGACACGGUGAGGUAGUGACAAGAAAUAACAAUACGGGGCUUAAAGUCUUGUAAUUGGAAUGAUGGGAAUUUAAACCUCUUCCAGAGUAUCAAUUGGAGGGCAAGUCUGGUGCCAGCAGCCGCGGUAAUUCCAGCUCCAAUAGCGUAUAUUAAAAUUGUUGCAGUUAAAAAGCUCGUAGUUGAAUUUCUGCUGCAUUGCUUGUGUCCCUCUGGGGUCUGUGCAUGUGGCUUUUUUCGGACGGAGUUUCUUUGUCUGAAUGUUUACUUUGAGAAAAUUAGAGUGCUCAAAGCAGGCUUUCGCCUUGAAUAGUUUAGCAUGGAAUAAUAAAGUAGGACUUUGGUUCUAUUUUGUUGGUUUUAGGUACCAAAGUAAUGGUUAAUAGGAACAGUUGGGGGCAUUCGUAUUUAA